AUUUAUGAAUAGUACUUAAAGAAAUGAGUUCCAGAGGAAAAGAAAGAUGAGACAUCAAAGUUGCCAGGUUGGAGGAUCUUCAUGAAAUCCCUGUUAAGAAAUAUUUCUACUUCAGAUACAUCAGUUGAAAGUCCAUCAAAAGAAAAACUGAGGAAUGUUAGAGAUUUAAUAGGAACAUGGGCAGAUCCUUUUGCUUAGUCUUUUCUUCUGUUAAGCUUUAUAUUUUGAAAUUGACUGAGAAUGCCUAAGUGGCUAUAAUUACUUUUUAAAUAAAGUUUUUUAAAAAUUUAGGGAAUUAAUAAUUUAUUUGAAUAAUAUUUGCUUUUUAUUGUUCUAUGCAGUGUUUGCAUAUUGCGGAAAGGAAAAAAAAAAAAAAAAAAAAAAGCUUGAAUUAUUGGGUUAAUUUUUGUUUUUAUAAAAUACUUAAAACUGGACAUAUUUUAAAUUGAAUUAUCACAUGGUUUUAAUUCCUCAUAACAUUAUGUAAAAAGUUUUAAUUAUUAUACAUUUCAUUGCUCAUUUUGGAAUAUCUUUUUCUUAUGUUUUAUUUCUUUAUCGGAUUCCUUUAGAAGUAGUUAAAUUUAAUUAAGCAGAAUAUAGAAAUUUGCAUUUAAAUAUGAUUUUUCAAAUCAUGUACAAUUUUUAUGCUACUUUUCUUGAAAUACAGAAAUGCUUCUGCCAAAGUAAGACUAAGUAAUAAAUUUAAAUACACUUAUGUCCAAAAUUAUUUUUAUAUUUUUGGAAUCACAUAUUUCUCAGAAACGGUGUACUAUAGUUUUAUGAAUUUGGGUAGAGUGAUACAUUACAUGUGCAUAUACAAAGGAAAACACUUGAGAGCAUUGCAUAUUAUAAAAAAACUGUAGAUGAAACAAUAGAAAUGGUAACAAUAUGUUGUAAGGAGAGUUCAGAAAAAAAAAAAAAAAAAAAAAAAAAAAAAA
This is a long non-coding RNA of Stegodyphus dumicola, 938 nucleotides long. The record is from RefSeq and is a predicted model, not a curated record. NCBI's taxonomy places the organism in Eukaryota, Metazoa, Arthropoda, Arachnida, Araneae, Eresidae.